This 329-nucleotide ribosomal RNA is filed under the name uncultured eukaryote. Its description in RNAcentral is "partial 18S ribosomal RNA". It matches the Rfam family "Eukaryotic small subunit ribosomal RNA", at positions 1470 to 1796 of the family's 1831-position model. The record is from RNAcentral.
CCCUUAGAUGUUCUGGGCUGCACGCGCGCUACACUGACACGUUCAACGAGUUGUUGCCUGGGCCGAGAGGUCUGGGAAAUCUUUUGAAAGGUAGUCGUGAUGGGGAUAGAUCCUUGCAAUUUUUGAUCUUCAACGAGGAAUUCCUAGUAAACGCAAGUCAUCAGCUUGCAUUGAUUACGUCCCUGCCCUUUGUACACACCGCCCGUCGCACCUACCGAUUGAAUGGUCCGGUGAAUCUUUAGGACUGUGGCUGAGGCCUUGCCUUGUGCGGGUCUGGCCGUGGGAAUUUAGUUAAACCUUACCAUUUAGAGGAAGGUGAAGUCGUAACA